This 93-nucleotide transfer RNA is filed under the name Planctomycetota bacterium. Its description in RNAcentral is "Planctomycetes bacterium (drinking water metagenome) tRNA-Ser". It matches the Rfam family "tRNA". From Rfam's summary of the family: Transfer RNA (tRNA) molecules are approximately 80 nucleotides in length. Lineage: Bacteria; Pseudomonadati; Planctomycetota. The record is from RNAcentral.
GGAGAGGUGGCCGAGUGGCCGAAGGCGCUUGAUUGCUAAUCAGGUGACUCCUCACAAGGGGGUCCGCGGGUUCGAAUCCCGCCCUCUCCGCCA